UACGGAGGUUGCAAGCGUUGUUCGGAAUUACUGGGCGUAAAGGGAGCGCAGGCGGCCAAAUCAGUCUGAAGUGAAAUCCCGGAGCUUAACUCCGGACGUGCUUUGGAUACUGUUUGGCUUGAGUUCGCGAGAGGUAAGCGGAAUUCCAGGUGUAGCGGUGAAAUGCGUAGAUAUCUGGAGGAACAUCGGUGGCGAAAGCGGCUUACUGGCGCGAUACUGACGCUGAGGCUCGAAAGCGUGGGGAGCGAACGGGAUUAGAUACCCCGGUAGUCCACGCCGUAAACGUUGUGCACUAGGUGUGGGAGGUAUCGACCCCUUCCGUGCCGCAGCUAACGCAUUAAGUGCACCGCCUGGGGAGUACGGUCGCAAGACUGAA
RNAcentral lists this ribosomal RNA (376 nucleotides) under uncultured bacterium. RNAcentral's name for it is "bacterial SSU rRNA". It matches the Rfam family "Bacterial small subunit ribosomal RNA", at positions 524 to 898 of the family's 1533-position model. The record is from RNAcentral.